Molecule: transfer RNA, 76 nt
Filed under: Bacteroidia bacterium
Lineage: Bacteria; Pseudomonadati; Bacteroidota; Bacteroidia
Description: tRNA-Val(gac)
Rfam family: tRNA
About the family: Transfer RNA (tRNA) molecules are approximately 80 nucleotides in length.
Source: RNAcentral
GGGCCAUUAACUCAGUUGGUUUAGAGUGUUACCUUGACAGGGUAGAAGUCACUGGUUCGAGUCCAGUAUGGCCCAC